RNAcentral lists this transfer RNA (86 nucleotides) under Monomorphina parapyrum. Its description in RNAcentral is "tRNA-Ser". It matches the Rfam family "tRNA". From Rfam's summary of the family: Transfer RNA (tRNA) molecules are approximately 80 nucleotides in length. Their secondary structure includes four short double-helical elements and three loops (D, anti-codon, and T loops). Further hydrogen bonds mediate the characteristic L-shaped molecular structure. tRNAs have two regions of fundamental functional importance: the anti-codon, which is responsible for specific mRNA codon recognition, and the 3' end, to which the tRNAs corresponding amino acid is attached (by aminoacyl-tRNA synthetases). tRNAs cope with the degeneracy of the genetic code in two manners: having more than one tRNA (with a specific anti-codon) for a particular amino acid; and 'wobble' base-pairing, i.e. permitting non-standard base-pairing at the 3rd anti-codon position. Lineage: Eukaryota; Euglenozoa; Euglenophyceae; Euglenales; Euglenaceae. The record is from RNAcentral.
GGAGAGGUGUCUGAGUGGUCUAAAGAGCUUGAUUGCUAAUCAAGUGUGCUUUUAUAGCACCGAGGGUUCAAAUCCCUUCUUCUCCU